This 606-nucleotide ribosomal RNA is filed under the name uncultured bacterium. Its description in RNAcentral is "bacterial SSU rRNA". The stretch from base 1 to 516 matches the Rfam family "Bacterial small subunit ribosomal RNA", at positions 338 to 873 of the family's 1533-position model. The record is from RNAcentral.
CCUACGGGAGGCAGCAGUGGGGAAUCUUGCGCAAUGGGCGAAAGCCUGACGCAGCCAUGCCGCGUGAAUGAUGAAGGUCUUAGGAUUGUAAAAUUCUUUCACCGGGGACGAUAAUGACGGUACCCGGAGAAGAAGCCCCGGCUAACUUCGUGCCAGCAGCCGCGGUAAUACGAAGGGGGCUAGCGUUGCUCGGAAUUACUGGGCGUAAAGGGAGCGUAGGCGGAUAGUUUAGUCAGAGGUGAAAGCCCAGGGCUCAACCUUGGAAUUGCCUUUGAUACUGGCUAUCUUGAGUACGGAAGAGGUAUGUGGAACUCCGAGUGUAGAGGUGAAAUUCGUAGAUAUUCGGAAGAACACCAGUGGCGAAGGCGACAUACUGGUCCGUUACUGACGCUGAGGCUCGAAAGCGUGGGGAGCAAACAGGAUUAGAUACCCUGGUAGUCCACGCUGUAAACGAUGAGUGCUAGUUGUCGGCAGGCAUGCCUGUCGGUGACGCAGCUACGACAUAGACACUCCGCCGUGGGAGGUACGGUCGCGAGAGUAAACGUAACUAAUAGUUAGUUAGUACGGCGUUGAGACGUUGCCGACGGACGACGACGAGGGAGGAGG